Molecule: unclassified non-coding RNA, 363 nt
Filed under: Hevea brasiliensis (rubber tree)
Lineage: Eukaryota; Viridiplantae; Streptophyta; Magnoliopsida; Malpighiales; Euphorbiaceae
Source: RNAcentral
GAUGAAUUUAGCCUUUUGGGGGGUGCUUAAAAAGGGGAAAAGCGUCGCUUUCAGCCCGGCACAAACAUACACUCCUUUUCCUUCCGAUGCUGUCACUGCUGAUGAAUAGAAUUUAUCUUUCUUUGAAUUUUAUUUCUCUGAUUUUCAUUUAAUAUUUUUCUGUUUCACUGCCUUUGGUAGCUUUGCUAGAAAUACUUGGCAAACAGUGCAUUGUUUUUUAGUCUGUGUAGAACUGUAGAUAAAUUUUGAUUCUUGUUCUGUUUUUGCAAAUCAGCAUUUACUCUAAUCUGAAUGUUUAAAAGUGGGGGGAAAAGUGUCCAAACAAGUAGUCUGAUUUAUCAGUUCCAUUCUUCUGGUAGAUAA